Molecule: long non-coding RNA, 1744 nt
Organism: Gallus gallus (chicken)
Lineage: Eukaryota; Metazoa; Chordata; Aves; Galliformes; Phasianidae
Source: Ensembl
CUACAAAUGCCUAAAUAAAUUAGGCAAAUAUAGAAUAGUGCAUACAUUAAAGCAACCGCAGGCAAUGCAGUAUGUUAAUGGAAUAACUGCACAGUACAGUGACCAUGAAAAACAAGAUUAAUGAAGUCAGGCAGCAUGGACGUCCCAAGGAGUAGCAGCGAAAUCCAAGACGCAGCUUCUUCACUAGAGGUGAAUUAUUCCCCAUAAAAUGCUUUGGUAGGAGAAACUCACACAAACUACAAAACCCAAAUGCCAUAGGACAUUGGUUUCCUAAGGAAAUUCUUCCAAAAUAGGAUGCUGGGCAUUUGCAUGUAUAGUGGAGGGAGAAAGUUCCUCCUCACCUUGCCCUUAUUUUGAGAUACAAUGUGGCUUAGGAAUUCCUGGUAGAAGAGGACAAGGGAUAGGCUUGCCACUGUCUCUUUGCAUUCAAAUUUAUUCACAGUUCCUCGCUGGGAACUUCCUUAACCCCUCGCCUAAAGCAGCACUCAAUAGCUGCAAGCAAGAGCAGACAGAGCUACGCUGUUUUAAAAAUGCCUGUUGCGAGAGAGGAUCUGCGUGUAGAUACUUGAGCUACAGCUGCUACCUGACUGUUCCUAUUAGGAGGCUCCAAGUGGAGCCAAAACAGAUACCAUUGAUCUCUUCAGAUCACAGAAGACCAUUUAGAAAAUAUGAAUGCUUCUUUGCAUCACAAGUGCUUAAAUCCAGUGGCCUAUUUUAAAUAAAAGAUUGAAGAAAGUGAGUAAGAAUUCAUCCAUAGUUUUGUCAUCUAACAGGCAAACUAACCUACUUCAGAAGGGGAAAUGUAACAAAACAGCUACUGAAUUGUUUAUAUGCCAUUAAUUUUUUUGGCAGUUACAUUAUCAGGAGCAAUAGCAUCUGACUCUUGCUAGCUCUUUGCUUUAGCUUAGGGCCUUAAUUGAAUUAAAGGGUAUGAACAUGAAAGAAGUUUCAAGGCUCCCCUGUGUGUAACUUCUUCAUGCUAAAAUGGUGAACAAUUAAAGGAAUAAGGUCUUCUUUUUUCCUUUUCACAAUUCCCAGUUGCAUUUAUUUGAAAAAGAUAAGGAAACUCUGUUAUCCUCUGGAUGAUAAAAUUGGGGUUGAUUCUGCCCUACAAGCCAAGCAGGUCAUUGCCUAGGGAAAAACAUAGGAAGAAUUGAAUCUUUUAUAAUUAUAUUGGGGAUUUCUGAGGCAGAGCAAAGGGAAUCAUGUUUGUCAAAGCAGCCGAGCCUUAAAUUCAGCUCUGGACAGACAUGCAAUUAGAAUGGCUUGUUCAGGAUCAUUUUCUGUCCCCAGAAAUGAGUUAAAACAGAUAGCUGAGCACCUGUAUAAAAAGAAGUGGCAUUAUAUUAAAAUAGGAUAUUCUAUCCAUUGUACAGUGAUAAAUUGAAUUGCCUUUAUUUGACCUUUUGCUUUUGCUUAAGGCUUACGUUGGUGCUUUACACACAAAUUUUAGUUCUGUUUUCUAAUGAGGUGGCACACUUAGAGGCACUGAAGCCCUUAAAGAGAUGACCUCCUAACCAUGCAGCCUGCUCCACCCUAGCGCAGUUUUUGGAGUUUAAGGAAGCCACGCUCGGGUAAGGAAUUGCAGUUGUUGCAAUCUGCUCUCACAGAGAGCGACCCAGUAUAUUUAAAGCAGGCUUUAAAAACAGUUUGGAAAAACAGGUCAUAGAGUUCAUGUUUGUCCUGUCAUCAGGCCAACUGUUGGGCCUCAGAUGAGAGAUACAGAGCUGUGACUUUAAUCUAU